GGUGAGUAAUGCCUGGGAAUAUGCCUUGAUGUGGGGGAUAACCAUUGGAAACGAUGGCUAAUACCGCAUAAUGCCUACGGGCCAAAGAGGGGGAUCUUCGGACCUCUCGCGUCAAGAUUAGCCCAGGUGGGAUUAGCUAGUUGGUGAGGUAAUGGCUCACCAAGGCGACGAUCCCUAGCUGGUCUGAGAGGAUGAUCAGCCACACUGGAACUGAGACACGGUCCAGACUCCUACGGGAGGCAGCAGUGGGGAAUAUUGCACAAUGGGCGCAAGCCUGAUGCAGCCAUGCCGCGUGUGUGAAGAAGGCCUUCGGGUUGUAAAGCACUUU
RNAcentral lists this ribosomal RNA (328 nucleotides) under Vibrio sp. I9Ma3. RNAcentral's name for it is "bacterial SSU rRNA". It matches the Rfam family "Bacterial small subunit ribosomal RNA", at positions 105 to 436 of the family's 1533-position model. RNAcentral also lists the same sequence under 1 other name. Lineage: Bacteria; Pseudomonadati; Pseudomonadota; Gammaproteobacteria; Vibrionales; Vibrionaceae. The record is from RNAcentral.